UACGGGGGGGGCAAGCGUUGUUCGGAAUUACUGGGCGUAAAGGGCUCGUAGGCGGCCAACUAAGUCAGACGUGAAAUCCCUCGGCUUAACCGGGGAACUGCGUCUGAUACUGGAUGGCUGGAGAUUGGGAGAGGGAUGCGGAAUUCCAGGUGUAGCGGUGAAAUGCGUAGAUAUCGGAAGGAACAUCAGUGGCGAAAGCGACUUCCUGGACCAAUACUGACGCUCAUGUGCGAAAGCGUGGGGAGCAAACAGG
Molecule: ribosomal RNA, 253 nt
Filed under: uncultured bacterium
Lineage: Bacteria
Description: partial 16S ribosomal RNA
Rfam family: Bacterial small subunit ribosomal RNA
Source: RNAcentral